RNAcentral lists this transfer RNA (74 nucleotides) under Enterococcus sp. RNAcentral's name for it is "tRNA-Leu". It matches the Rfam family "tRNA". Rfam says of the family: Transfer RNA (tRNA) molecules are approximately 80 nucleotides in length. Their secondary structure includes four short double-helical elements and three loops (D, anti-codon, and T loops). Further hydrogen bonds mediate the characteristic L-shaped molecular structure. tRNAs have two regions of fundamental functional importance: the anti-codon, which is responsible for specific mRNA codon recognition, and the 3' end, to which the tRNAs corresponding amino acid is attached (by aminoacyl-tRNA synthetases). tRNAs cope with the degeneracy of the genetic code in two manners: having more than one tRNA (with a specific anti-codon) for a particular amino acid; and 'wobble' base-pairing, i.e. permitting non-standard base-pairing at the 3rd anti-codon position. Lineage: Bacteria; Bacillati; Bacillota; Bacilli; Lactobacillales; Enterococcaceae. The record is from RNAcentral.
GCACCUGUACCCCAAUUGGCAGAGGGCUACGCUUGAGGGGCGUAGAGUUGGAAGUUCGAGUCUUCUCAGGUGCA